AUGCUGGGGUUACAUCAUUCCUUCUGCGUGGCGUGGGGGGCUUGGGGACUAGUGUUUAGGGGCGAGGAGAGCAACUAACUGACUAACCCAAGAUGGGUUGAUACCUCGACAUCAUCCAUUCUUAUUUAUGGCAUUAUUUUUGUUUGUUCAUGGGUUGGGCUGGGUUCGGUUUGGCCGGGGCCCGGCCACAUUGGAUGGAAUAUGGAAAGGAAUAUGGAUGAUGAAAGGGAUGGAUGGAAUGGAUAAAGAUGGUGGAACACACACUUGUUUUGGGUUGUGGCAUCGGCUGAACCUCAAAGUUUGAUCAGAGUUUCGGCCGUUUAUUUUUGGCACAGAAACUUCGCCCUUGGUUUCAAGAUCCAGGAGAGGAAGGAGAAUGGAGGCGACCUAGAUGUACAGGUACAGGUGGAGGUACAUGGACAGGUACAUGGACAGCAACGUGUGGACUGCACCGUGUCUCCAAGCGACGAUGGUAGCAGGUACUUCAUUCUCGCUGGGGUCCCCGGGUGUAGUUUGUUUGUUAGUGUGGGGAAGGGUACGGCACACAUGGAGACAACGAGAAGAGAACGAGAAGGACCUUCUUUCGUCUCUUUGCAGCAAAGGAGCGCGGGACAGCGAGCAGUGCGUGGAGCAGACAUUGCCAGGCUGGAUUGUGUUCAUAUACA
This 665-nucleotide small RNA is filed under the name Histoplasma capsulatum var. duboisii H88. RNAcentral's name for it is "Histoplasma capsulatum H88 hypothetical RNA". The record is from RNAcentral. Lineage: Eukaryota; Fungi; Ascomycota; Eurotiomycetes; Onygenales; Ajellomycetaceae.